Molecule: long non-coding RNA, 1682 nt
Organism: Thrips palmi
Lineage: Eukaryota; Metazoa; Arthropoda; Insecta; Thysanoptera; Thripidae
Exons: 4
Source: RefSeq, a predicted model, not a curated record
ACAGAGAGUCCAGAGAGUCUGACCGACUCGAGUCGAGUCAGUCAGUCCAGGAGAAGGAGUGAGUGUGGAACGACGUGGCCCAUGGCCGCGGCCAGGCCGCGGCCGUUGCCGUUGCCUGGCGAGCACCCUUGGUGUCCGCGACUAGCUCCGCGGUGUCGGCGGCGGCGGUGACCAGCUUGCAAGCCAGCGGACCGAGGCGCCGAGGGACGCCGCGAGCUGGCCGCUAGCAGCACCACCAUGAUGCCUGGAUGACGCCAAAGGACGCGGAAGGACAAACCGCGAGUCCAACGUGCAGGCCUGCAGCCCAGUGACGUGAGUGACGUGCAGCAGCCCAUGCCUGCUCGCGGUUGCCCAGCCCAGUCUGCGGCGUCGGCGGCAGCCCAGCCCACCCCACACCAGCGAACCGAGGCCUGAGGGACCAGAAGACGGCAGAGGGACUCCAUGUGCUGCUGGCGCAUGCUGGCGCCGCGUCACCAUGACGCCGCCGCGUCACCCUGAAGGACCACCGUGACUCGUUCAGCCUUUCAGACGUGCUGCUAACAACGGCAAUGUAGCUGUGGAAUGGAUCUCGGACAACUCAUUCCAAAUGAAAUGUUUUCGUCCAUCAAGGAGUUUUCAAAUUUCCCUAUCUGAUAUAUAUUCUAAGGAAGUAUUGGAGCCGCUGCCUUCGGAGUGAUUCCUUUUCAACACUCCUUUUAGAAGAGCCACAACGGUCAUCCCGAUGGUUCCCCUCUCUAGGUGGGGCAUGACGUUUUCGUGCGUGAGAGGGAUUGCGAUGGGGCGGCCACUGCCGCCUCUGUCCUAAUGAUUGCGGAAGCUGUGCCUGUCUGGAGACUCGAUUGGUUCCGCAUGAAGGGCCAGACCAAGAAGCCCCACAACCGACACAGAUUCAAAAUUCACCUUCUUGCUGGGCUCACUGCAUUUUGGUUACCAUUCAUGUAAAUUAAUUCUGGUUGUUGUUUUGGAUAAGCUGGAUGAGUGUGUGAUAAUAAGCACUACUCGGAAGGCCCAUGUCCUCGUGAAGUCUGGCUCCCGGAAGAGGGGGUGGGGGCUAGUCCAAUGUCUCUAGCAAAAUAAUUCUCAUCUACAGCCAAAACCAGAAAACCCUCGAAAAACAUACAACCUGCCUCUCUCAAAAAAGCCAAAACUCUCAACUUGUGAUGUUCUCGUGUGAGUUUUUUUUGGAUUUUUGGCCAGGGGGCUCACUUGUUCUGCAAUCGUAAUGGGCUUUGUCUCCUCUGUCGUUUUUUCAACUCGUCGAUCUUUCUCGUUUAGUGAUCAGUUUUGAAAUUUCACAGUGGGGACAUGCUUCGAAUUAAGUUGCUUUGUGAGUGGAUCUCCUGGUAGUCUGUGUGAUGCGAAGCGUUUUGUCACGGAGCUGACUCGAUCGCUACAAACACCCUGCGACGACGCUGUGCGGCGCAACGCCCGCUAGGCAGGACACUGUCCCCACCUCCGAGGCCAGCGGCCUUUACGUCACGGCCGGGACGGUGCUGCCCCCGUAGUCCGCAUUGUCACUCUUUCUGUGUCACUUUUUCGGCAUACUUUUCGAUUUGCUCUAAAUUAUUGUAUCUUUAUUAUUUUUUUUUCAUCCUAUUGAUGGUAAAUUCUUCUUGAUUGUUUUUCAGCCCAUGUUUAUUUGUAUUUAUCACCCAGCAGAAUAAAUAUCAGUUAUGUACAUU